This 332-nucleotide unclassified non-coding RNA is filed under the name soil metagenome. Its description in RNAcentral is "partial contains 5.8S ribosomal RNA, internal transcribed spacer 2, and large subunit ribosomal RNA". The stretch from base 1 to 120 matches the Rfam family "5.8S ribosomal RNA", at positions 35 to 154 of the family's 154-position model. The record is from RNAcentral.
GAUGAAGAACGUAGCGAAAUGCGAUAAGUAAUGUGAAUUGCAGAAUCCAGUGAAUCAUCGAAUCUUUGAACGCACAUUGCGCCCGCCAGUAUUCUGGCGGGCAUGCCUGUUCGAGCGUCAUUUCAACCCUCAAGCACAGCUUGGUGUUGGGACUCGCGUUAAUUCGCGUUCCCCAAAUUGAUUGGCGGUCACGUCGAGCUUCCAUAGCGUAGUAGUAAAACCCUCGUUACUGGUAAUCGUCGCGGCCACGCCGUUAAACCCCAACUUCUGAAUGUUGACCUCGGAUCAGGUAGGAAUACCCGCUGAACUUAAGCAUAUCAAUAAGCGGAGGA